This 832-nucleotide ribosomal RNA is filed under the name uncultured bacterium. Its description in RNAcentral is "bacterial SSU rRNA". It matches the Rfam family "Bacterial small subunit ribosomal RNA", at positions 14 to 893 of the family's 1533-position model. The record is from RNAcentral.
UGAUCCUGGCUCAGAGCGAACGCUGGCGGCAGGCCUAACACAUGCAAGUCGAACGAACUCUUCGGAGUUAGUGGCGGACGGGUGAGUAACACGUGGGAACGUGCCUUUAGGUUCGGAAUAACUCAGGGAAACUUGUGCUAAUACCGAAUGUGCCCUUCGGGGGAAAGAUUUAUCGCCUUUAGAGCGGCCCGCGUCUGAUUAGCUAGUUGGUGAGGUAAAGGCUCACCAAGGCGACGAUCAGUAGCUGGUCUGAGAGGAUGAUCAGCCACAUUGGGACUGAGACACGGCCCAAACUCCUACGGGAGGCAGCAGUGGGGAAUCUUGCGCAAUGGGCGAAAGCCUGACGCAGCCAUGCCGCGUGAAUGAUGAAGGUCUUAGGAUUGUAAAAUUCUUUCACCGGGGACGAUAAUGACGGUACCCGGAGAAGAAGCCCCGGCUAACUUCGUGCCAGCAGCCGCGGUAAUACGAAGGGGGCUAGCGUUGCUCGGAAUUACUGGGCGUAAAGGGAGCGUAGGCGGACAUUUAAGUCAGGGGUGAAAUCCCGGGGCUCAACCUCGGAAUUGCCUUUGAUACUGGGUGUCUUGAGUAUGAGAGAGGUGUGUGGAACUCCGAGUGUAGAGGUGAAAUUCGUAGAUAUUCGGAAGAACACCAGUGGCGAAGGCGACACACUGGCUCAUUACUGACGCUGAGGCUCGAAAGCGUGGGGAGCAAACAGGAUUAGAUACCCUGGUAGUCCACGCCGUAAACGAUGAUUGCUAGUUGUCGGGAUGCAUGCAUUUCGGUGACGCAGCUAACGCAUUAAGCAAUCCGCCUGGGGAGUACGGUCGCAAGA